RNAcentral lists this ribosomal RNA (253 nucleotides) under uncultured bacterium. RNAcentral describes it as "partial 16S ribosomal RNA". It matches the Rfam family "Bacterial small subunit ribosomal RNA", at positions 524 to 776 of the family's 1533-position model. The record is from RNAcentral.
UACGGAGGGUGCGAGCGUUAAUCGGAAUAACUGGGCGUAAAGGGCACGCAGGCGGGGUUUUAAGUGAGGUGUGAAAUCUCCGGGCUUAACCUGGGAAUAGCAUUUCAGACUGGGAGUCUAGAGUACUUUAGGGAGGGGUAGAAUUCCACGUGUAGCGGUGAAAUGCGUAGAGAUGUGGAGGAAUACCGAAGGCGAAGGCAGCGCCUUGGGACUGUACUGACGCUCAGGUGCGAAAGCGUGGGGAGCAAACGGG